AUAACGACUCUCGGCAACGGAUAUCUCGGCUCUCGCAUCGAUGAAGAACGCAGCGAAAUGCGAUACUUGGUGUGAAUUGCAGGAUCCCGCGAACCAUCGAGUCUUUGAACGCAAGUUGCGCCCGAAGCCUUCUGGCCGAGGGCACGUCUGCCUGGGUGUCACUC
RNAcentral lists this ribosomal RNA (164 nucleotides) under Euphorbia cassia. RNAcentral describes it as "5.8S ribosomal RNA". It matches the Rfam family "5.8S ribosomal RNA". Rfam says of the family: 5.8S ribosomal RNA (5.8S rRNA) is a component of the large subunit of the eukaryotic ribosome. It is transcribed by RNA polymerase I as part of the 45S precursor that also contains 18S and 28S rRNA. The record is from RNAcentral. Lineage: Eukaryota; Viridiplantae; Streptophyta; Magnoliopsida; Malpighiales; Euphorbiaceae.